This is a long non-coding RNA of Nycticebus coucang (slow loris), 692 nucleotides long. RefSeq lists it as uncharacterized. The record is from RefSeq and is a predicted model, not a curated record. NCBI's taxonomy places the organism in Eukaryota, Metazoa, Chordata, Mammalia, Primates, Lorisidae. The transcript has 3 exons.
UAACAGGAUUCACAGUUGGGUUUUUAGCUUGUAACAAUCCAUCCAUCAAUCAUAAAAGAACUGCUCCAGGAAACCCAGAGGACAAAAUUCUGCAGGAACAGCCCUGGAGACCCUAGAGCUUGGAGAGGCUGGGGUCAUCCCCUGGAACCGGCCAUUUCUUGCAACGUGGGAAACGGUAACAGCUGAGCAAACAGUGGAGACCCUGUUGUGUUCACCAGUAGUCCACGUGCUGGGUUACUUGGGGGCAGCAUCCCCACAUGCCCACUGCCUUCCAGGGUAUUAAGUGUCAUGUAAACACAGCUCUUCAAUUGCUGCCCGGUUUUUGGCUGGGGCCAGGUUUGAACUCACCACCUCUGGUAUAUGGGACCAACGCUCUACUCCUUGAGCCACAGGUGCUACCCCCAUCUUACUCAUUUUUAAGUCUAUAUUUUGGUCACAUUGCAUGGCAUAUACAGCCAUCACCAGUAUCCAUUGCCGGAACUUUCUCAACAUCCCAAACGGAAACUCUACACUCAUUUCUUUUUGUGGGGGGAUUCUUCCGGUAGAGACCGGAAAACCUGAUAGACGAAUUCUACAAGAGCUGUAACACAAGAUCUGUAACACUAGCUGUAACUCUGUACUCAUUAAACAAUAACUCCCCUUUCUGGCCAUUGCUUCUCCAGCCCCUGCUAUUCUCUACUCGGCUUUCUGUC